RNAcentral lists this non-coding RNA (171 nucleotides) under Oceanospirillaceae bacterium. RNAcentral's name for it is "6S RNA". It matches the Rfam family "6S / SsrS RNA". From Rfam's summary of the family: E. coli 6S RNA was the first non coding RNA to be sequenced, but its function was unknown until recently. It consists of 184 nucleotides that fold into an extended hairpin structure with a large single-stranded internal bulge. Lineage: Bacteria; Pseudomonadati; Pseudomonadota; Gammaproteobacteria; Oceanospirillales; Oceanospirillaceae. The record is from RNAcentral.
GACUCCCUGUGGUUAGCGACAUUCGGUUACGUCCUUGAGCCGAUAUUACCAGCAAGGAAUUAGCUCGCACUGGUUCUGCGCAUGUCCGUGCAACGGAAAGCCUUCUACCAGACAGCUUCUUCCACCUUGAACCCAUCGGGUUCAGGGCCACUACCGAAAACGCAACUGUGG